GGGUGCGAUCAUACCAGCGUUAAUGCACCGAAUCCCAUUGGAACUCCGCAACUAAGCACGCUUGGGCUAGAGUAGUAUUGGGAUGCAUGACCUCUCGGGAAGUCCUAGUGUUGCACCCU
Picea glauca (white spruce) is the source of this 119-nucleotide non-coding RNA. The record is from Rfam. Lineage: Eukaryota; Viridiplantae; Streptophyta; Pinopsida; Pinales; Pinaceae.